RNAcentral lists this long non-coding RNA (1038 nucleotides) under Dromaius novaehollandiae (emu). RNAcentral's name for it is "lncRNA (ENSDNVG00000013676.1)". The record is from RNAcentral. Lineage: Eukaryota; Metazoa; Chordata; Aves; Casuariiformes; Dromaiidae.
AAGCCAAGAGGAAGGAUUAAUGGCYCCCGUGGCCGCGUCCUGCUGGCGGCUGUCCCGCCAGCCCUGCCCGCCUGGCGCUGCCCUUUGCCCGCGGCAGCCUCCACGUGGCCACGCAGGGCCGGAGUCCACCGACGGCCGAGCCAUGGACCGGUAAGGCCCUCGGCUCUUUCCCCCGCAGCCCCCCGCGCGCGCCAGGCCCGGCCGCCCCGGCGCUGUGGGCCGGCCGGGGGCAAGGCCGCAGCAGCGGCUCUGCGGGAUGCAGGCGCCGAAGCGGCCCUGCGGCAGCCUGGGGGCAGCUGCCUCACGGCCUGGUGCCCAGCCCCAGGCUCUGGGAACGGGGAGAUCCGAGAGGGAUCAAUCACUGGCAGUGCAGACUAGGCUCCUGGGGGGAAGCACUGCCCGUGGGCACACGCUGGCACCAGGGGGACAGCGGGUGCAGGCAGGUGGAGGGGUGCAGGCAGGCACAGUGGGUGCAGGCAGGCACUGCAAGCACAGGCAGGCACUGUGAGCGCAGGCAGGCACAGACAGGCCCUGAAGGCGCAGGUACUGCCGCUGUGGCUUCGCAGACCUCUGCUAAAACAAAUCCUGUGCGUCUCCACAGCUUCGCCAUCCUCGUGGGCACAGCUCUCCUCCUGCAAGUCCCUGGGGACACCCAGGCGCUGAGCAACACCAGAGGAAAUCAGCUGCCUACUGAUCUGGAUUUCAUCAAGGAAAUCAUCCUGGGCAUAAGAGCUGUUGAGCCUCCAGAAGAGAGUGAGAUAACUGUAGAUGCUGAACCAGGAAUAAAGGUCUUCAGCGAUGCACAAGCCUGGAGAGGCCCCUCYGGAGCCCAGGCCAUAGAAGGACCUGAGGAGGACCGCGAUCACCUCCACCAUCCCGAAGGCAAUGGAGUUGAACAUGCAGCACAUGUGCAGCGCCUGGCUCUGCCCCGCAAGGUGCAGAGCGGCCCAGAAGAAGACCGGGACCAUAUCCACCAUGGCCGAGAGGAGGAGAUGUGACUCCACCUGGGAUAAUAAAAGGGGGAUCUGAGCUGCCCCA